RNAcentral lists this ribosomal RNA (253 nucleotides) under uncultured bacterium. RNAcentral's name for it is "partial 16S ribosomal RNA". It matches the Rfam family "Bacterial small subunit ribosomal RNA", at positions 524 to 776 of the family's 1533-position model. The record is from RNAcentral.
UACGGAAGGUCCGGGCGUUAUCCGGAUUUAUUGGGCUUAAAGGGAGCGUAGGCCGGGGAUUAAGUGUGUUGUGAAAUGUAGGCGCCCAACGUCUGACUUGCAGCGCAUACUGGUUCCCUUGAGUAAGGGCAGCGCCGGCGGAAUUCCUAGUGUAGCGGUGAAAUGCUUAGAUAUGAGGAAGAACCCCGAUUGCGAAGGCAGCGGGCGGGAGAGCAACUGACGCUGAAGCUCGAAAGCGCGGGUAGCGAACAGG